This 492-nucleotide ribosomal RNA is filed under the name uncultured bacterium. RNAcentral's name for it is "partial 16S ribosomal RNA". It matches the Rfam family "Bacterial small subunit ribosomal RNA", at positions 29 to 507 of the family's 1533-position model. The record is from RNAcentral.
AGUGAACGCUGGCGGUAGGCCUAACACAUGCAAGUCGAACGGCAGCACAGUAAGAGCUUGCUCUUACGGGUGGCGAGUGGCGGACGGGUGAGGAAUACAUCGGAAUCUACUUUUUCGUGGGGGAUAACGUAGGGAAACUUACGCUAAUACCGCAUACGACCUACGGGUGAAAGCAGGGGAUCUUCGGACCUUGCGCGAUUGAAUGAGCCGAUGUCGGAUUAGCUAGUUGGCGGGGUAAAGGCCCACCAAGGCGAGGAUCCGUAGCUGGUCUGAGAGGAUGAUCAGCCACACUGGAACUGAGACACGGUCCAGACUCCUACGGGAGGCAGCAGUGGGGAAUAUUGGACAAUGGGCGCAAACCUGAUCCAGCCAUACCGCGUGGGUGAAGAAGGCCUUCGGGUUGUAAAGCCCUUUUGUUGGGAAAGAAAAGCAGCAGGUUAAUACCCCGCUGUUCUGACGGUACCCAAAGAAUAAGCACCGGCUAACUUCGUG